This 515-nucleotide ribosomal RNA is filed under the name uncultured bacterium. RNAcentral describes it as "partial 16S ribosomal RNA". It matches the Rfam family "Bacterial small subunit ribosomal RNA", at positions 28 to 523 of the family's 1533-position model. The record is from RNAcentral.
GAUGAACGCUGGCGGCGUGCCUAAUACAUGCAAGUCGAGCGAAUGGAUUAAGAGCUUGCUCUUAUGAAGUUAGCGGCGGACGGGUGAGUAACACGUGGGUAACCUGCCCAUAAGACUGGGAUAACUCCGGGAAACCGGGGCUAAUACCGGAUAACAUUUUGAACCGCAUGGUUCGAAAUUGAAAGGCGGCUUCGGCUGUCACUUAUGGAUGGACCCGCGUCGCAUUAGCUAGUUGGUGAGGUAACGGCUCACCAAGGGAACGAUGGGUAGCCGACCUGAGAGGGGGAUCGGCCACACUGGGACUGAGACACGGCCCAGACUCCUACGGGAGGCAGAAGUAGGGAAUCUUCCGCAAUGGACGAAAGUCUGACGGAGCAACGCCGCGUGAGUGAUGAAGGCUUUCGGGUCGUAAAACUCUGUUGUUAGGGAAGAACAAGUGCUAGUUGAAUAAGCAGGCACCUUGACGGUACCUAACCAGAAAGCCACGGCUAACUACGUGCCAGCCGCCGCGGUAA